Lycium barbarum (goji berry) is the source of this 397-nucleotide long non-coding RNA. RefSeq lists it as uncharacterized. The transcript has 3 exons. The record is from RefSeq and is a predicted model, not a curated record. Lineage: Eukaryota; Viridiplantae; Streptophyta; Magnoliopsida; Solanales; Solanaceae.
AGAUGAACCAAAAAAGAAGUAUGACAAGCUGUCCAAGAAAGGUGUGCAGAUGACAUGUUCAACAUGUCACCAACUAGGCCAUAACAAAAAGUCUUGUCCAGUAACAAAGGGUGGAAGUGGUAGAGGAAGUGGUCAAUCAAGCUCUGCACAGAAAAGGCCUAUAGGAAGUGGUGAAUAAAGCUCUGCACAGAAAAGGCCUACAGGAAGUGGUGAAUCAGUUGGGUUGAAAAGGGGUAGAGGAAGUGGUCAAUCAAGUUCUGCACAGAAAAGGCCUAAAAAUGCAGGCCUUGGAUGCUACAUAAACCCAACAACUGGAAGAACUGUCAUUAAUCCUGGUAGUUCAAGUGAGAGAGUUGUGAGGCACGAGACUAUGAGGGACACCAGUGCAGUCAACAUU